RNAcentral lists this ribosomal RNA (439 nucleotides) under uncultured bacterium. Its description in RNAcentral is "partial 16S ribosomal RNA". It matches the Rfam family "Bacterial small subunit ribosomal RNA", at positions 339 to 795 of the family's 1533-position model. The record is from RNAcentral.
CUACGGGUGGCUGCAGUGAGGAAUAUUGCACAAUGGGGGGAACCCUGAUGCAGCAACGCCGCGUGGAGGAUGACGCAUUUCGGUGUGUAAACUCCUUUUAUAUGUCAAGAAAAUGACGGUAGUAUAUGAAUAAGCACCGGCUAACUCCGUGCCAGCAGCCGCGGUAGUACGGAGGGUGCAAGCGUUACUCGGAAUCACUGGGCGUAAAGGACGCGUAGGCGGGUUGGAAAGUCAGGUGUGAAAUCCUACAGCUUAACUGUAGAACUGCACUUGAAACUUCUAAUCUAGAGUAUGGGAGGGUGAGAUGGAAUUAGUGGUGUAGGGGUAAAAUCCGUAGAUAUCACUAGGAAUACCUAAAGCGAAGGCGAUCUCCUGGAACAUUACUGACGCUAAGGCGUGAAAGCGUGGGGAGCAAACAGGAUUAGAUACCCUCGUAGUC